Long non-coding RNA from Rhinichthys klamathensis goyatoka, 760 nucleotides. RefSeq lists it as uncharacterized. The record is from RefSeq and is a predicted model, not a curated record. The transcript has 3 exons. NCBI's taxonomy places the organism in Eukaryota, Metazoa, Chordata, Actinopteri, Cypriniformes, Leuciscidae.
UUAGUACUGCACGCGCACUGGAGCCCGUGAGCGGAGACGAGGCUCGUUUAGUAUUCCGUGCACAAGGCGAAGGAGAGAGAAGGGAGGGAGGGGAUAGAGUGAAAUAGAGAAAAAAACGAGGCUGUGAAGACAGGCAAAAACACAGAAAGAGAGGAAGAAGAGGGGAGCGGAGAGACUCCUCUGUCCCUCUCGGUCUACUCUUUGACAUCCGUCUGUCCCAGGCAACUUCAAAGCUCCUGUAGAACAUUCCAGAAAUACAGCCAUGGACCUUAAUGAACAUCAAACCUUGAAUGAAAAAACAAAGAGAGAAAUCUAGUGGAAAUACACCAUACGUCUCAGAUUUUACCCUGCCCUGAUGCUGCUUUAAGGACCAAGCCUGCAAACACUCUCCUCUUCCCUGACUGAUGAAUUAACUGAGAGUAAUAGCCCACGAAAUCUAGGCUAUGCUUUUUGAACAACAGACUUAAAUAUAGUCUCGCUGUUUAUCCAUUGAAGAAAACAUUUCUCUAUAAUUGAAUUCCCUCCUCCUUCACUAUGACAAGGACUCAGGGAUGUCAUUGCUAUCCUUUAUAACAAGAGCCUAUGUUAUUAUUGAAAAGAGAGAUUGUGGCUCACUUACCACUGGGUUUAGCAGCUAUUAAUAUCAUAAAGAGAUCAUGUCAUAAAGAGACUGUCUCAGGUCCUCGUUGAAACAUUGUCCUUCAGAAUCGAAAGCGAGUUCCUGUUUUAUCAGAAUCCUACGGUAGAAAGUGGCCAGACA